This 802-nucleotide ribosomal RNA is filed under the name uncultured bacterium. RNAcentral's name for it is "bacterial SSU rRNA". It matches the Rfam family "Bacterial small subunit ribosomal RNA", at positions 1 to 811 of the family's 1533-position model. The record is from RNAcentral.
GAAUUCGCCCUUAGAGUUUGAUCCUGGCUCAGGACGAACGCUGGCGGCGUGCCUAACACAUGCAAGUCGAACGGAGUUAGCCCCUUCGGGGACUGACUUAGUGGCGAACGGGUGAGUAACGCGUGAGGAACCUGCCUUUCAGUGGGGGACAACAGUUGGAAACGACUGCUAAUACCGCAUGACACUUCUUGGAGGCAUCUCUGAGGAGUCAAAGCUUUAUGUGCUGAAAGAUGGCCUCGCGUCUGAUUAGCUAGUUGGUGGGGUAACGGCUCACCAAGGCGACGAUCAGUAGCCGGUCUGAGAGGAUGAACGGCCACAUUGGGACUGAGAUACGGCCCAGACUCCUACGGGAGGCAGCAGUGGGGAAUAUUGGGCAAUGGGGGGAACCCUGACCCAGCAACGCCGCGUGAAGGAAGAAGGCUUUCGGGUUGUAAACUUCUUUUAGCAGGGACGAAGGACGUGACGGUACCUGCAGAAAAAGCAACGGCUAACUACGUGCCAGCAGCCGCGGUAAUACGUAGGUUGCAAGCGUUGUCCGGAUUUACUGGGUGUAAAGGGCGUGUAGGCGGAGCUGCAAGUCAGAUGUGAAAUCCCGGGGCUCAACCCCGGAACUGCAUUUGAAACUGUAGCCCUUGAGUAUCGGAGAGGCAAGCGGAAUUCCUAGUGUAGCGGUGAAAUGCGUAGAUAUUAGGAGGAACACCAGUGGCGAAGGCGGCUUGCUGGACGACAACUGACGCUGAGGCGCGAAAGCGUGGGGAGCAAACAGGAUUAGAUACCCUGGUAGUCCACGCCGUAAACGAUG